RNAcentral lists this unclassified non-coding RNA (377 nucleotides) under uncultured Simkaniaceae bacterium. RNAcentral's name for it is "contains 16S-23S intergenic spacer region". Lineage: Bacteria; Pseudomonadati; Chlamydiota; Chlamydiia; Parachlamydiales; Simkaniaceae. The record is from RNAcentral.
UCCUGGUUAACCCAGGCAGUCUCAUUAGAGUCCCCACCUUAAAUGUUGGCAACUAAUGAUAAGGGUUGCGCUCGUUGCGGGACUUAACCCAACACCUCACGGCACGAGCUGACGACAGCCAUGCAGCACCUAUGCAGCAGUCCUUACGGAAUGCACUAUUUCUAGUACAGUCUCCUGCAUUUCGAGCCUGGGUAAGGUUCUUCGCGUUGCAUCGAAUUAAACCACAUGCUCCACUGCUUGUGCGGGCCCCCGUCAAUUCUUUUGAGUUUCACCCUUGCGAGCGUACUCCUCAGGCGGUAUACUUAUCGCGUUAGCUUCGACACAGUCAGGGUUGAGCCCAACUACAUCAAGUAUACAUCGUUUACGGCAAGGACUAC